GAUGAACGCUGGCGGCGUGCCUAAUACAUGCAAGUCGAGCGAACGGACGAGAAGCUUGCUUCUCUGAUGUUAGCGGCGGACGGGUGAGUAACACGUGGAUAACCUACCUAUAAGACUGGGAUAACUUCGGGAAACCGGAGCUAAUACCGGAUAAUAUUUUGAACCGCAUGGUUCAAAAGUGAAAGACGGUCUUGCUGUCACUUAUAGAUGGAUCCGCGCUGCAUUAGCUAGUUGGUAAGGUAACGGCUUACCAAGGCAACGAUGCAUAGCCGACCUGAGAGGGUGAUCGGCCACACUGGAACUGAGACACGGUCCAGACUCCUUCGGGAGGCAGCAGUAGGGAAUCUUCCGCAAUGGGCGAAAGCCUGACGGAGCAACGCCGCGUGAGUGAUGAAGGUCUUCGGAUCGUAAAACUCUGUUAUUAGGGAAGAACAUAUGUGUAAGUAACUGUGCACAUCUUGACGGUACCUAAUCAGAAAGCCACGGCCAACUACGUG
This 497-nucleotide ribosomal RNA is filed under the name uncultured bacterium. RNAcentral's name for it is "partial 16S ribosomal RNA". It matches the Rfam family "Bacterial small subunit ribosomal RNA", at positions 28 to 507 of the family's 1533-position model. The record is from RNAcentral.